This 465-nucleotide ribosomal RNA is filed under the name Vreelandella stevensii. RNAcentral describes it as "partial 16S ribosomal RNA". It matches the Rfam family "Bacterial small subunit ribosomal RNA", at positions 338 to 795 of the family's 1533-position model. The record is from RNAcentral. Lineage: Bacteria; Pseudomonadati; Pseudomonadota; Gammaproteobacteria; Oceanospirillales; Halomonadaceae.
CCUACGGGCGGCUGCAGUGGGGAAUAUUGGACAAUGGGCGAAAGCCUGAUCCAGCCAUGCCGCGUGUGUGAAGAAGGCCUUCGGGUUGUAAAGCACUUUCAGUGGGGAAGAAAGCCUUGGGGCUAAUACCCUCGAGGAAGGACAUCACCCACAGAAGAAGCACCGGCUAACUCCGUGCCAGCAGCCGCGGUAAUACGGAGGGUGCGAGCGUUAAUCGGAAUUACUGGGCGUAAAGCGCGCGUAGGCGGUCUUGUAAGCCGGUUGUGAAAGCCCCGGGCUCAACCUGGGAACGGCAUCCGGAACUGUCAGGCUAGAGUGCAGGAGAGGAAGGUAGAAUUCCCGGUGUAGCGGUGAAAUGCGUAGAGAUCGGGAGGAAUACCAGUGGCGAAGGCGGCCUUCUGGACUGACACUGACGCUGAGGUGCGAAAGCGUGGGUAGCAAACAGGAUUAGAUACCCGAGUAGUC